GUUCAGGUGUUUCGGCUGCUCAGGUGUUUCUCAGGAAGAUCAAAUAACCUCCAGAAAGCUGCAAUGAAGAGGUCUCACUCUGAGCCUGUUUCCAAGGACCGAGAGGAAAAGAGAAAUAACUGAGGAGGAAGGAGGAGGAGGGAGAAGGA
Molecule: long non-coding RNA, 149 nt
Organism: Sphaeramia orbicularis (orbiculate cardinalfish)
Lineage: Eukaryota; Metazoa; Chordata; Actinopteri; Kurtiformes; Apogonidae
Exons: 3
Source: RefSeq, a predicted model, not a curated record